This 807-nucleotide ribosomal RNA is filed under the name uncultured bacterium. Its description in RNAcentral is "bacterial SSU rRNA". It matches the Rfam family "Bacterial small subunit ribosomal RNA", at positions 60 to 862 of the family's 1533-position model. The record is from RNAcentral.
AGUCGACGGCAGCACGGGAGCAAUCCUGGUGGCGAGUGGCGAACGGGUGAGUAAUGUAUCGGAACGUACCUUUCAGUGGGGGAUAACGUAGCGAAAGUUACGCUAAUACCGCAUAUUCUGUGAGCAGGAAAGCAGGGGAUCGCAAGACCUUGCGCUGAUUGAGCGGCCGAUAUCAGAUUAGCUAGUUGGUGAGGUAAAGGCUCACCAAGGCGACGAUCUGUAGCGGGUCUGAGAGGAUGAUCCGCCACACUGGAACUGAGACACGGUCCAGACUCCUACGGGAGGCAGCAGUGGGGAAUUUUGGACAAUGGGGGCAACCCUGAUCCAGCCAUGCCGCGUGAGUGAAGAAGGCCUUCGGGUUGUAAAGCUCUUUCAGCCGGGAAGAAAUCACAUGGGUUAAUACCCUGUGUGGAUGACGGUACCGGAAUAAGAAGCACCGGCUAACUACGUGCCAGCAGCCGCGGUAAUACGUAGGGUGCGAGCGUUAAUCGGAAUUACUGGGCGUAAAGCGUGCGCAGGCGGUUUGUUAAGAUAGGCGUGAAAUCCCCGGGCUCAACCUGGGAACUGCGUUUAUGACUGGCAGGCUAGAGUAUGGCAGAGGGGGGUGGAAUUCCACGUGUAGCAGUGAAAUGCGUAGAGAUGUGGAGGAACACCGAUGGCGAAGGCAGCCCCCUGGGCCAAUACUGACGCUCAUGCACGAAAGCGUGGGUAGCAAACAGGAUUAGAUACCCUGGUAGUCCACGCCCUAAACGAUGUCAACUGGUUGUUGGGGGAGUGAAAUCCCUUAGUAACGAAGCUAACGCGUGA